GGUGGACUACGCCAGAAAAUAGUUCAUCUGUUUGUUUUCUAGUAGGAGGAAUAGCAGGACCGUUAGAUGCUGCCUUCCAGAAGAAGACCUGGAGAGUUUUAGCACAGACUGCUUUUUAUCUUCAAAAAGCAUAAGAGGCGCUUCACUAGAAGCCGUUUCCUAAAAUGGAGCUGAAGUGGGCGCUUCUUUUUGGUCAGGAUGGAUUAUUACAGUCUGUUUGCCCGAAUGUGCCCACGUGAGAAGAAAUCUGAGCACACAACCAGUACCAGUCCGACCAGCAGCAGUCGGAAACCUCUUCGGAGCGACGGCAGCUCGGCAGAGUCUCAGAUGUAAAGCAGAUCUUAAACUCUUCAACACUAUCCACACUGUCCUUUCCGUGUCAAAUGAAGACUUUUCACAAGCUUUAAUUCAACAUUUACAUAUGCAUCAUCUAUCACUGGAGACGGAGAUAUAGGCUUGACUUUGGACCCAAGAGAGCUGCUUCUGUUUGACCUUUUUUUAAUUACGCCAAAGGAAACAUUUAUAUUUUGUUGAGAUUAGUUUGACUGUCAAUUAAUUAUUUUUAACCAUGUCAAAACAUCCUAAUUUUCAGCUCAGGAGUAUUUCUGUGUAUUUUCACGCGCUUAGCCUUCGUUAUACAGGAAUGACUGUAACAACCAAAAGUGACAUGUCUGUUCACGUUAUAUUGCGUUACAUUGGUGAAGAUUAUUUUAUAUGCAAUUUUUUGGCGUAUAUGCAUUAAGAAUCAUCAUGCCAUUCAAGCAAAUCUGGCUCAAAAUUGUAUUUAUUAAUGAACUGUGUGCGUGUUCUCUUUGUGCAUAUCGUCACUGUAUUAGAUGAGGAAACUGUUAAGAGCAGGAAGUGCUGGAAAGUGGACAUGUUGAGUCACACGGAGCAGGAGCAGACACAUGAAGAGGAAACUCAAUGGAAAAUAAACAUUUCACAACAAAUGCAAAUGAGACGGACAGAGCGCCUCUGAAUAAGCUCUGAGGAGUGAUUGGAAUACAAAUCUAAUUUGGGUUGGUUUCCUAAUAAUGGAAAUAUCUCUCUGAAAGGACAAAAGGCUCUUUGGCGUGUUGU
Molecule: long non-coding RNA, 1080 nt
Organism: Puntigrus tetrazona (Sumatra barb)
Lineage: Eukaryota; Metazoa; Chordata; Actinopteri; Cypriniformes; Cyprinidae
Exons: 3
Source: RefSeq, a predicted model, not a curated record